UUAAUUAUGACAGUGUUGUACAACCAUCACCUGUUUUGUUCCAAAACAUUUUCACCACCUUGCUGAGGUGACUCCGCACCUGUCAGGUCUCCCCCCAGCCUCUUGUCUCUGCCCUCCCUCCCUGCAGGUACAGCCGCUGGCAGCCUCUAAUCUGCUUUCUGCCUCUGUGGAUUUGCCAGUUCUGGACAUUUCCUAUCGAUGGAAUCACACUGUAUGCAACCGUGGGGUCUGGUCUUGGACCCCACGUCGUUUUCGAGGUUCAUCCGUGCUGUGGCGUGUCAGAGCUGCUUUCCUCGUUAUGGCUGAAUCGUCCUCCGCUGUGUGGACCGAGUGCAUUGUGCUUAUCCAUUCUCAGCGGGGUGACAUUUGGGUGGCUUCCAUCUUUCGGCUGCUGCAGAUAGUGCUGCUGUGAACUUUGUCGCUUAACGGUCUAUCUCAAUGUUUUCGACGGCACAUCGUGUCUCAUGGCGUCCCACUGCCUGGACAGUGCCUUGCUGGUGGGUGUUAGCUCACUGCCAGAUUCUCACUCCCACACGUGGCUGCCAUGGCCGGCCAUGGACGAGCUUCUCCAUGGUGCCCCUUCCCAAGUGUCCCUUAAAACCUAGGUCCCUAGAUCCUGAAUUGCUGGGUGUCUCUGAUGGCUUACAGCCCCCCCAGCUUUUAACAGUGUCUGUUAAGAAUACUUGGCCUUCUCUUAGUUUUCCAAAGCACUCUUGUACUUUCUCUUAGCGGUGACCUGUGAAGCAGGGAGGCCUGGUCUUUCCACGUCAGGAUAAAAUGACAGCCGACACUUAGAGACACUUAGACACUCUGGCCCUGGGCCCCUCUGUUGUGAGCACUUCACAUUGAUGAAGCAUGCACAGGCCUUUUGAGAGCACCGAGGCCUGAGGGGAAAGCAACUAAAAGGCGAAGCCGGGAUCGGAGUCAGGCGCCAGGCUCCUGCCUCGGUCUCACAGCUCCUACAGCUGCCGCCCAGGAAGGUGAUGAGGCUGCUGGGCUUCCACAUAGACCCAGCCGCCCCUCUCUUCGCAUGUUCGCCUCUCGCCCACCUCUCCGGGAGCCAAGGCAGCCCCAGCACGGAGUAAAUGGCAUGUCAGAGCGGGAGCGACAGGUGAUGAAGAAGCUGAAGGAGGUGGUGGACAAACAACGCGAUGAGAUCCGCGCCAAGGACAGGGAGCUGGGCCUGAAAAAUGAGGACGUUGAGGCUUUACAGCAGCAGCAGACACGGCUGAUGAAGAUCAACCAUGACCUUCGGCACCGGGUCACGGUGGUGGAGGCCCAGGGGAAAGCCCUGAUCGAACAGAAGGUGGAGCUGGAGGCAGACCUGCAGACCAAGGAGCAGGAGAUGGGCAGCCUGCGAGCAGAGCUGGGGAAGUUGCGAGAGAGGCUGCAGGGGGAGCACAGCCAGAAUGGGGAGGAGGAGCCUGAGACGGAGCCGGUUGGAGAGGAGAGCAUCUCCGACGCAGAGAAGGUGGCCAUGGAUCUCAAGGACCCCAACCGCCCCCGGUUCACCCUGCAGGAGCUGCGGGACGUGCUGCACGAGAGGAACGAGCUCAAGUCCAAGGUGUUCUUGCUGCAGGAGGAGCUGGCUUACUAUAAGAGGUUUCCACACGAGACCACAAGCAACAUGAGACCAGAAGUCUUAUUUAUCUUGUCCAUGGCUAAGUUCCCAGCACUUAGAAUGGAGCUUGGCACACAUGAAGAAAUGGAAGAGGAAAAUCGAAUACCCCAACCCCCACCCAUCGCCCACCCGAGAACGUCCCCCCAGCCGGAGUCGGGCAUCAAGCGACUGUUUAGCUUCUUCUCCCGAGAUAAGAAGCGCGUGGCCAACACGCAGAGAAACGUGCACAUCCAGGAGUCCUUUGGACAGUGGGCAAACACCCACCGCGAUGACGGUUACACAGAGCAAGGACAAGAAGCCCUGCAGCACCUGUGACCUUGGCCCACCUCCACCCUCCAACCUGGACUGCCCGCCACCAGCGUCUGCAACCGAACUGCAGCCCAGGGGUCGUUGCUGCCUCAAGCCUCUCGGUGCAGACACACCCUGAAAACUGACCCCUCAAACAGACUGUCUGAUUUGAGGAUGGACAUUGAAAAACUGACGCCAAACUCUAAAGAAAUGUUUAUUUAUACCCAGGGCUAUCACUGUUUCUAAUAGAUGACUCUGAUCCCGUAGGAUAUAUAUUUAAUAAUCCCACGAACGGAGGCCAGACUUCUGCGUUAACUUCAGUAACACAAGCUUCUUUAAGCCAAAUACAUCACUUGCCACUAUCAUUGCUGUUUGACUUGCUUUGUAUAAAAUGCUAUGUGUAGAGGUUUUAUUAUCACAGGUGACAUAGUUCAGCAGGAGGCAUGGAAGGGCUAGAUCUUCAUUAGUUACAUUCAUGAAAUUGUGAUGGUAACGUA
This 2406-nucleotide small RNA is filed under the name Pongo abelii (Sumatran orangutan). RNAcentral describes it as "processed transcript". The record is from RNAcentral. Lineage: Eukaryota; Metazoa; Chordata; Mammalia; Primates; Hominidae.